GUGGGUGGUUAUAUGGUGGGUGGUUUCGGUGGGGUGGGGCUGGUUUUUUUUUUUUAUUGAAUUUUCCGACGGAAAAUUCCUCUUCCGACGGAAAAUUCCUCUUCCGAUGAAUUAUUCCGAGGAAAAAUCCGUCGGAAAGUUGCGAUGGACUGACGUGGAAAGUCAAAUCCUCCUACGAUGGAAAUAAAUUCCGUCGGAAAAGUGUUUUCGACGGAAUUUCCCUCGGAAAACCCCAAUUUUCCGACGAAGAGUUUUCCGGCAGAACCUUUCCGACGGAUUUUUCGCUUAUUCCGACGGAAAAAUUCCGUUGGAAAUCAGCUGUUUUCUAGUAGUGCUUGCGGUCAAUAUCAUUGGUUUGAUGCGCUACUUGAUCUGUUUGCCGUUGUAAACAUCUACAAGUGUGCAGCCAUGCAUUCCGGACUUGGUUUGCAUUGUCGAGCUUAUUAUCCAUGUACCACGGUUCUCCCUUGGUGUUCGCGUGCGACCGUCACCACAUGAUAUGUUCAUUUUAGAUAGUGAUUUACUCCCAUCCCUCGGUCAUUUUUAGGAGUAUUAUUGGCUCUUUGGAGUCUCUUUUAUUACUAAUAUGUGUUUUCUAGUGUUUUUGUAGUUUUAGUACUGUUUUAUAGAAAAUUGCAGAUUUGGAGCAUUUUCCCGGACUUAUGAUAGGCCACUACGAGCAUUGGAGAAUUCUGACCGUAUUUCAUAGCCCAAGACCGGUUGGAGUCAUCAAAUCGGUGAUUAAGGGUUUGGUAUAGAAGAGAUCGAGGCAAUGGACCAAGUGUUCAAGAACCAAGGUGGAAAACCCAGAAUUGGGCCAAAAGAAUUAGCCCAAAAGUUAAGGUCCAGCUUGCCCAAAAGCUCCGCCCGACCGGGCAAGCCCUCGCCCUGUGUCGCGCCCGACCGAGCGCGAGUGAAGAUUAAAGGCUUAAAAAAGGCGGGCCCGGCCGGGCGAAGCUCCGCCCGACCAGUUUUGUUAGAUGGGUUAUGAAUCGCUGCUAUUAAUCACAGUAUAUCAUCAAUUGUGGGCUUACUUACUGAUCCAAAUAUUGGUGAUGAACACAAGAAUUUGCUGAAAGAGUUUAUUGACAACUGAGUGAAUGACAAUUAGGAGCAAAGGUGAAGGAAGAAUAACUAAUGCAAAUAUGGUGAAUAAUAUGUCAACAACAAUUUAACGACUUCGACUACAUGUUAGAAGAGUAAAAUGUGCUGAACUUUUUGACGAAAUGGGUGGUAAUCUGAGUUUUCGGCUACAGAUAAUGGCAAUAUAGGAAUGGAUGGAUAUGAGGCGAAAUGUAUUUCAAUAUGUAGUUUAUAGCAACUUACAAAGGUGCCAUAAACCCCAAGGGUCCUCAACUGCCCGUCAUUCACGGAAAAUACAUCCACAUCUAAGAUUGUACCUAUUUCUUUGACAUUGUAAAAAUAUUGGAUUUCCAAUACUGUAAAAGUAUUCUUGCUACAAUCGGUUACUAUGUUUUAGGAUUUUUUUAAAGGUUUAGAUUGAUUUCUUGCAUUACGUUUAUUUUUAUUUUAAUUGUUUCUUUGAUUCAGUUGAAGGAUUUCUUGUGACUAUUACGAGUACUACUAUGAGCAAUUUGUUUUCUGUUAAUGUUGAUGUGAUUUUUUCAAAAAAUCAGUGGCCGAUCGAACUCCAUUGUUUGCCAGUGAUGAUAA
Long non-coding RNA from Chenopodium quinoa (quinoa), 1674 nucleotides. RefSeq lists it as uncharacterized. The record is from RefSeq and is a predicted model, not a curated record. NCBI's taxonomy places the organism in Eukaryota, Viridiplantae, Streptophyta, Magnoliopsida, Caryophyllales, Amaranthaceae. The transcript has 3 exons.